This 423-nucleotide ribosomal RNA is filed under the name uncultured bacterium. RNAcentral's name for it is "partial 16S ribosomal RNA". It matches the Rfam family "Bacterial small subunit ribosomal RNA", at positions 360 to 774 of the family's 1533-position model. The record is from RNAcentral.
AAUCUGCCGCAAUGGACGAAAGUCUGACGGAGCAACCCCGCGUGGGUGAUGAAUGUCUUCGGAUCGUAUAACCCUGUUGUUGGGGAGGAAUAAGUCUCGGAGUAAUAUACCGGUACCUUUACGGUACCUUACCAGCAAGCACCGUCUAACUUCGUACCUGCAGCCGCGGUAAUACGUAGGGGGCAAGCGUUGUCCGGAAUUAUUGGGCGUAAAGGGCGCGCAGGCGGUGUUUUAAGUCUGAUGUGAAAUCUCGCAGCUUAACUGCGAGCGGUCAUUGGAAACUGGAAAGCUUGAGUACAGAAGAGGAGAGUGGAGUUCCACGUGUAGCGGUGAAAUGCGUAGAGAUGUGGAGGAACACCAGUGGCGAAGGCGACUCUCUGGUCUGUAACUGACGCUGAGGCGCGAAAGCGUGGGUAGCGAACA